RNAcentral lists this long non-coding RNA (377 nucleotides) under Solanum tuberosum (potato). RNAcentral describes it as "long non-coding RNA (STUB_LNC003348)". Lineage: Eukaryota; Viridiplantae; Streptophyta; Magnoliopsida; Solanales; Solanaceae. The record is from RNAcentral.
AAUCAUCAACUAAAAUGGAGUUCUAAGACUACCAAUCAUUUUGAUAAAAGAUCCCUACUAUUCAAGAAAACAAUAACCAAAAAACUAAAAAUACAACAAGCCACUAGUAGGUACAUAGGAAAAGCCGACCACUACAUAAGCCACUAGUAGCUGAGAGAACGAGCAACGUUUACUACAUAUGAACAUGUUGCCAUGUCCGGUUUGCAACUUUGAGACCUUCAAGCUUUCUUUAAUGCCAUCGAUCUUGCACGUAGAUUUAAGAAAAUCCCCCUACAAAUCGAAAACGAGAAAGGAUAUAUCAAUGAUAUUGUGAAAUCAUUGAGGUGGGAAUGACGUUGAACAUAUCGGAACCAGUAACAAGUAUAGGUAAAUGUAGC